RNAcentral lists this ribosomal RNA (541 nucleotides) under Hylomyscus simus. RNAcentral describes it as "partial 16S ribosomal RNA". It matches the Rfam family "Bacterial large subunit ribosomal RNA", at positions 1816 to 2593 of the family's 2925-position model. The record is from RNAcentral. Lineage: Eukaryota; Metazoa; Chordata; Mammalia; Rodentia; Muridae.
CACCUCUAGCAUUUCAAGUAUUAGAGGCAUUGCCUGCCCAGUGACUAUAGUUUAACGGCCGCGGUAUCCUGACCGUGCAAAGGUAGCAUAAUCAUUUGUUCCUUAAUUAGGGACUAGUAUGAACGGCUAGACGAGGGUUCAACUGUCUCUUAUUUUUAAUCAGUGAAAUUGACCUUCCAGUGAAGAGGCUGGAAUACAAUAAUAAGACGAGAAGACCCUAUGGAGCUUAAAUUAAUAAGCUUAAUUAUUACUUUAACACCCUAAUGGAACAAAACAAAAAAUAUAAGCUUAAAAUUUUGGUUGGGGUGACCUCGGAGAACAAAAAAUCCUCCGAAAGAUUAUAACAUAGACCUACAAGUCAAAGUAACUUAAUUAUCCAAUUGACCCAAAAAAUUGAUCAACGGACCAAGUUACCCUAGGGAUAACAGCGCAAUCCUAUUUAAGAGUCCAUAUCGACAAUAGGGUUUACGACCUCGAUGUUGGAUCAGGACAUCCCAAUGGUGCAGAAGCUAUUAAUGGUUCGUUUGUUCAACGAUUAAAG